UACGGAGGGGGCUAGCGUUGUCCGGAAUCACUGGGCGUAAAGGGCGCGUAGGCGGCUUGAUAAGGUUGCGGUGAAAGCCCGGGGCUCAACCCCGGGUCGGCCGUGGCAACUGUCGAGCUGGAGCACUGUAGAGGCAGGUGGAAUUCCGGGUGUAGCGGUGGAAUGCGUAGAGAUCCGGAAGAACACCGGUGGCGAAGGCGGCCUGCUGGGCAGUGGCUGACGCUGAGGCGCGACAGCGUGGGGAGCAAACAGG
RNAcentral lists this ribosomal RNA (253 nucleotides) under uncultured bacterium. RNAcentral describes it as "partial 16S ribosomal RNA". It matches the Rfam family "Bacterial small subunit ribosomal RNA", at positions 524 to 776 of the family's 1533-position model. The record is from RNAcentral.